CAAUAAGCAAAAUAAGGGCGUAUGGGGGAUGCCUAGGCUCUCAGAGGCGAUGAAAGGCGUGAUAAGCUGCGAAAAGUUACGGGGAUUGGCACACACGAUACGAUCCGUAAAUACCUGAAUGGGGCAACCCACUAUGUUGAAGACAUAGUACACCGAUAGGUGGGCAAACCCGCUGAACUGAAACAUCUAAGUAGGCGGAGGAGAAGAAAACAAAAGUGAUUCCGUAAGUAGUGGCGAGCGAACGCGGAUUAGCCCAAACCAAUGUUGUUACGGCAAUGUUGGGGUUGUAGGACCACGACAUUUCUUGCAUAAAGAAUUAGAAUCUACUGGAAAGUAGAGCCAAAGAAGGUGAUAGCCCUGUAUAAGUAAUGAAUGUAAAGAAUAGUGGUAUCCUGAGUAGGGCGGGGCACGUGAAACCCUGUCUGAAUUUGGCGGGACCAUCCGCUAAGGCUAAAUACUCCUGAGAGACCGAUAGUGAACCAGUACCGUGAGGGAAAGGUGAAAAGAACCGUGAAUAACGGAGUGAAAUAGAUCCUGAAACCAUACGCUUACAAGCGGUCGGAGCCCUUUCGUGGGGUGACGGCGUGCCUUUUGCAUAAUGAGCCUACGAGUUAACGUUGCUGGCAAGGAUAAGUGGUUAAGCCACGGAUCCGUAGCGAAAGCGAGUCUGAAUAGGGCGCUUUAGUCAGUAGUGUUAGACGCGAAACCGUGUGAUCUACCCAUGGGCAGGUUGAAGCUGUGGUAACACACAGUGGAGGACCGA
Molecule: ribosomal RNA, 763 nt
Filed under: Flavobacterium soyangense
Lineage: Bacteria; Pseudomonadati; Bacteroidota; Flavobacteriia; Flavobacteriales; Flavobacteriaceae
Description: partial 23S ribosomal RNA
Rfam family: Bacterial large subunit ribosomal RNA
Source: RNAcentral